RNAcentral lists this transfer RNA (116 nucleotides) under Sordaria macrospora k-hell. It matches the Rfam family "tRNA". Rfam says of the family: Transfer RNA (tRNA) molecules are approximately 80 nucleotides in length. The record is from Rfam by way of RNAcentral. Lineage: Eukaryota; Fungi; Ascomycota; Sordariomycetes; Sordariales; Sordariaceae. RNAcentral also lists the same sequence under 1 other name.
GGCUGGAUGGCCGAGCGGUCUAAGGCGCUAGACUCAAGAACUCAAGCUUCUUCUGCACAAAUGUGCGGUGCAUUCUAGUAUCGAAAGAUGCGUGGGUUCGAAUCCCACUCCAGUCA